Long non-coding RNA from Phascolarctos cinereus (koala), 1768 nucleotides. The record is from Ensembl. NCBI's taxonomy places the organism in Eukaryota, Metazoa, Chordata, Mammalia, Diprotodontia, Phascolarctidae.
GGGGACCUGAGGAUAUGACUUUGUAUGGAUGCAGCCCACAAAGGGUAUUUAAAGGGCCAAGAUCUGCCAUGCCCCUUUCAACCUCCUGUCAGCAUCAUGGCUCCUGGGUCUUCCCCAUCUUGAUGCUCCUACUCUGUGCGAUCCAGGGAAGCCAGCAAGGCGGGGUUCCCCCAGGAGCAGGGGCUGGAGCUGCGGCUGGGAGCCCACCAGGAAAGGCAGGCUAUGGCCCACUGCCAAAUGGCUAUGGAGCAGGACCUGGGGCUCAGAAUGGCUAUGGAGCAGGAUACAGGAAUGGACUGGGAGCAGGAGCCUUCCCUAGAGCUGGAGCCCAGACAGAGUUGCAUUCCCCAUCCCCCAUACCUUUGAUUCUGCCCACAAUCAACCUCCAGCCUGAGACCUCUCUGCUCCCCGAAAGGCCCGUAACACAACCCCUUCCCUCUGUCUCGCCAGCAUAUAGAAACGGAUUGGGUAAUGGGGCUUUCCCAGGAGCUGGAGCCCAGCCAGGCCUUGGAGCUGGAACCAAGCCUCAGAAACCAGGAUAUGGAAAUGGGCUGGGAAAUGGCGGCUUCCCUGGGGUUGGAGCCCAGCCAGGGCUAGGAGGGGAAAUGAAACCUCAGAAAGCUGGAUAUGGGAACGGGCUGGGAGCUGGGGGCUUUCCAGGGGCUGAAGCCCAGCCAGGAUUUGGAGUAGGAACCAAGCCUCAGAAAGCAGGAAAUGGGAAUGGUCUACAAGCUGGGGCCUUCCCAGGAGCCAGAGCUCAGCCAGGUCCCUGUAAUAGGGGCUCCAUUCCAGCUCCCAAUGGAGUAGGGCCCGCAACAGGGAGUCCCUCAGAAAAAGGAGGAUUCAGGGCUCAGAAUGGCUAUGGACCAGUUUCUCCCUCAGGCCUUGAAGAUGGAUUGAAGACUCAUAAAACAGGACUCAGAAAUGUGUUUGGAGCUGGACCCUUCUCAGGGGCCAAGAUUCAGCCAGGCUAUGGUGCCAUGAAUGGGUAUAGAGCAGGUCUUAGAGGAGGAGCCAAACCACAGAAAACAGGCUAUGGAAAUGGAUUAGGAGCAGGUGCUUUCCCAGAGUCUGGGCCACAGCCAGGGUUUGGGACCCCAAAUGGUUUUGGAGUAGGCCUAGGUGGUGUGAAGCCUCAAAAAGCAGUUUAUAGCAAUGGACUGGGAGCUGGAACCUUUUCUGAGGUCAGGGCCCAGCAAGCAGGUUUCCCUGGGGCCAGAAGUUAUCCAGCCAAUGGCUACAGCAAUGGUGGGGCCAGCUUCUUUGGUGCUCAGGGAGUCCCCUUUCUCCCUGGAGGUUCAGACUCUGGGGCCAAAACUGCUAAGUAUGACUAUGGAAAUGGGGUAGGCGAAGGCUCCUACCCUGCGGAUAGAAGCGCGCCAGGUCUCUAUGGUCAGUUAAGACCAGAGGCAGUCCCCGGGACUUACGGUGGGCCAGAUGUGAAGCACAGCUUCAAUGGCUUCCUGGGAAAUGGCUAUGUAGGUCGCUGUCCUCCAGGGAAAUGUUGAGCCUAAAGGGUUCCCUCCAAUAUCCCCCAUGUGAAGAUCUUCAGGGGAGCUCGGAGCCUAAGACCUGGCCACCUUACUGCUGUCAGGUUUUUUGGAAAAAAAACCAGGCUCCUUGGGAGGGGAGUCUCCCCUCUGCCCCAUCAGGGUCUUUCUUUGGUCCUUUAACCCAGUCUUAUAAGGGGCCCCUCACAGCAGAGAGGAGGAGGAGGAGAUCAAGGGCCUGUUAAUAAAAGAUUUAAAUUCACAAGUUUGGUGGUCCA